CAAACCACUGUGCUCUUCCAAGUUGAGUCACUCACCUCCGUCCUCUCUUCCCCAACCCCGGCUUCCACCCCGCCGCCGCCGCCCGCGGAUCCACCCGAGCGGUCAGAUCCGCCCUCACUCCCUCCCUCCCUCCCUCCCUCCCUCCUCGCGCUGGAAACCCUAGACCGCCCGGCCAUGGCGACCCAGGCUUCACUUCCACGAGAGAUCUGCUGCUCCCUCCUCCUCCUCCUCCUCCUCCAACGGUGGUCUUCUUCUUCUUCUUCCCUCUCUCUGACCCCUGUCGCGUCUGUCUGUGUAGGUAGCUUGAGGGCAGCGGCCAGUGACCGGGGCACCCAAAGAAAGGAAACCUUCUCCGCCGCUACAGAGGAGGAGAGGCUCGAAGGAUUCGUGAGGUGACAACCGUUUGCCCAGCCCACAAGUUGUGCUGUUUCCAAAAAUCCCCACCCCACCCAAAACGGAAGCACGAGUAAACAAGGAGGCUUGUGGCCUUGUGGGUCGCCUCUCCUUCAUCGGCGACGCCGCCGACCACUCGUACCCGACCUACACCAAGAUGAUUACGGAUGCGCUCACCGAGCCGGGAGGCACCUCCGGCUGGGCCGCCAUCGCCGGAGGAGGUGUUUCGUCGGGGAUCAAGAGAAAGAAGAAGCUUGGGAGGCCAUUCAAGAAGAGGCCGCCGAGAAACCCGCUUGGGGGGCUGAGGAAGGUCAAACAGACAGAUUCUGAAGCAACUCCAGCCACGCCGUCACCGUCAACUCCAGCCGCGCCGUCACCGUCAACAACCGGUAUCAAGAUACCGUGUGGGAGGCCGAGAAAGGACCAGCAACCAUCACAAGCAGCAAGCUCUCCUGAUCCGACUCCAGCACGGAGGAUCGAGACAGCGGAAACUCAAACUGGGCAUAGGAGCCCAAUGCUAACAGAGAAUCCACCACCAGCAACAAUGUCUGGUGAUGAUGCGUCGAUGAGAACCAAGAGACUGCUCGCGAGGCAAGCAAGGGAGGCACCGCCAGCGGCAACGCCCGCUCCUAAAACUGGAAUCAAGAGAGGGCGCGGGAGGCCAAGAAAGGACAAGCCAGCAGCACCAAUGUCUGCUCAAGCUGGAGGUGCCACGUCAACGGGAAUCAAGAGCAGGGGCGGGAGGCCAAGAAAAAAAAAGUCAGCAGCAGCAAUGUCUGCUGAAGCUGGAGGUGAUGCGUCAACGGGAAUCAAGAGCAGGCGCGGGAGGCCAAGAAAAGACAAGUCAGCAGCAGCAAUGUCUGCUGAAGCUGGAGGUGAUGCGUCAACGGGAAUCAAGAGAAGGCGUGGGAGGCCAAGAAAAAAUGAGUCAGCAGCAACUUAUCCAUAUCAGGAAUCUUCAAGUGGUGACCAUAGAUGGACUGAACAUGUUGAGCGACAGAGUGGUGUGGGUUCGCAACCAUUACCGGGAGAGACCGACCAACAUUUAGGAGAUGCUGAAAUGGAAGGUAACACCGGAAAUGGGGACAAUACUCAGGCAGAUCCACCUUACUUAGAACCGCGGACUGUGGCUCUUGUGCCCAGCCAGGCUUGCUUGCAAAUGUCUAAGGAAGUUGAAGCUGAGGCCAAUCCUGUAAUUCAGUCAGCCCAACCAGCUGUAGCACCAGCACAACUUCUGCAAAGAGAGGCAGAGCAAGUAGACUGUUCUGAUAGAACACCAGCUCAGACUUCAAGUGGUGACCAUGGAAGGAAUGAAGAUGUUGAGCAACAUAGUGGUGUGGGUUCAGCAGAACCAUUACCGGGAGAGAUUGAACAACAUUUAGGGGAUGCUGAAAUGGAAGUUAACACCGGCAACGGGGACAAUACUCAGGCAGACCCACCUUAUUUAGAACCACAGACUGUGGCUCCUGUGCCCAGCGAGGCGUCCUUGCAAAUUUCUAAGGAAGUUGAAGCUGAGGCCAAUCUUGUAAUGCAGUCAGCCCAACCAAUUGUAGCACCAGCACGGCCUCUGGAAAGAAGGGCAGAACAAGUAGACCGUUCUGGUAUAACAUCACCUCAGACUUUGCAACCUGAAAUGCAACCGCCAGCAUGCAGGGAAGCUUGUACUCAGACAUAUCUGAUAAUUCAGUCUUCACAACCAAGUACGGUACCAAAUGGGCUUUCACAAAGGGAUGCAGAACAAGCAAGCCUUUCUCGUGUACCAUCAUCUCAGUGUUUGUCAUCUGCAAUGCAUUCAUCGGUUCCACCGUCCAGUAUUCUGCUUGAAAGAGCACACCCUGAUCAGUGUCAACCACCAAGCCAUCAACCUGAGGCUGCACCGGGUUCUUCACCACAACUAUUUCCGGUGGCGCCAAUCAUGUUUAAUCAUCCACCAGUUGGUGAUGAUCCAUCGAAAAAUGAGUUGCACAGAUUACGGUUACACAUUCACUCAACCCACCAACUAAAGAAAUCACAACUUAGGACCGAGUGUAGCCAAGAAAUGGAGAAGCUCAAACAAAAGUAUGAUUUGUUACUUCGAGAACAAGAGUCCACUCAUCUUCAGCAAACCAAGACACUUGGUAAUCUAUGUGGGAAAGUUCUCCUCAACCAAUCACUAGCUGAAGAUCUUCGGGCUAAAUUCGUAUCUUCUGGAGAACAAGUUAGAGCCCCUGGCCCUCCAAAUCACCACACACCCCACUGGAUUGCUUCUCAGCAAGUUCCCAUGAGGCCUUCAGCGGUGGCAUCACCAACUACGUCGUCAUCAGCUGGUCGACCACCAGUGCUGAUACAUCACAUCCAACCGUUACAGGUCGAUGGACCAUCACCAUCAUCAUCGCCAUCUUCACAAGUGGUCAGACCACAUCCCUCCAUACUAAGCAACAUUGUCAGAUCAACAUCUACUAGUUUUAGCCUCGUGUCAGUUCUGCCACAGGGAAGCUUUGGAGUCCAGAGUGAACUAGCACAUGCACAUGCUCCUCGUCUUCAGCACAGGUUGCUUGCACAGGCGCAUUCGAUGGCAUCUGCAAAUCAGCAGCAGCUUCCAACUGGGUUGGAGAGCAUGUUUGCAAGGACAUGGUCUACCCCUGUGACUCCAAUAAAUAUAAGACAAUCAUGCCCACAUGCAGUUCCCCCAGGGAACCCAUCACUAUCAAGCUUGCAUCCAAGUUCACACUCCACUAUACCCUUGGGGCCAUCAAGUUCACAUCAAAUUCAUCAGGUUCCACCACUGCCAUCAAGUUCACAGGCCACUGUACUCGCACCCGUGGGCCCAUCAAGUUCACAUCAAAUUCAGCAGGUUCCACCACUGCCAUCAAGUUCACAGGCCACUGUACUCGCACCUGUGGGCCCAUCAAGUUCAUAUCAAAUUCAGCAGGUUCCACCACUGCCAUCAAGUUCACAGCCAACACGCCUGCCAUUGCCAUUGCCAGUGCCUUCGAAUCCAAAUCCAGUUCUUCCACUAACAUUACCACGAGGUUUGACUACGACAUCUAGUGUUUCCUCAGCUGCGUCCAGUGUGUUGCCAAGUAAAGGUGUUGGGCCUUGCGCACCAGACUCGCCGCAGUCAGAUUCUGAUGCAGAAUCACUGGAUCAAUUUCUAACCAGUAUUGGGGUGCCCAGUGAUCCCCGUGGCGUGGCGGCUCCUGAAGUGAUAUGCCUAUCUGAUGAUGAAGAGACCGAUGACCAAACCAAGCAAGAAACGCCGCUCGUCGCUGAAGUGCCCCAACAGAAGGUUCCUUGCAAGUUUUUGGUCAAAGGUGAUGCUUGUAAACAAGAAAUAUUGAUGCCCAGAUCGAUUUUAUAAUCACAAAUUUGUGAUGCAACUCCUUGUUUCUACUAGAGAACUUUGAGUAACAUGUACUAACUGGGAUUGCUGCUACUUAAUGCUUAACGCAACGCCUAAUUGUAUGUGACAUGUCACUUAACGCUUACGUGGAUAGUACAGGUAGGCACGUCCAGCAAGCACCCAGCCUACUUGGUCGCUACACCUGCUUGUUUUUCUUUUUACUUUUUUCGAUCGACCUUUUUGAUCAACCUUUUUUUUUUAUGGAUUGCUGCUACUUC
This 3993-nucleotide ribosomal RNA is filed under the name Triticum aestivum (bread wheat). Its description in RNAcentral is "partial small subunit ribosomal RNA". Lineage: Eukaryota; Viridiplantae; Streptophyta; Magnoliopsida; Poales; Poaceae. The record is from RNAcentral.